This 724-nucleotide long non-coding RNA is filed under the name Phoenix dactylifera (date palm). RNAcentral's name for it is "long non-coding RNA (PDAC_LNC003796)". The record is from RNAcentral. Lineage: Eukaryota; Viridiplantae; Streptophyta; Magnoliopsida; Arecales; Arecaceae.
GAAGUUGAGGAGGUUUGGGAACGGCUGUGAAAUGAUCCGGAAGUUGUUGGGGCUUUGAUCCGAACAUUGGGGAGAAUCUCGGAGGCUGGUAGGAGCUACACUUAUUCAUGGCCGAUGAAGGAUUUGCUGUGAAUGAGGGGGUUUGGGACUUAUCCGGAGCAGGGGAAUGUGCCGUGAAGCUCGGGAGGAUGAAGCUGCGGACGUCGAGCAGGGGAGAUGAAUUCUGUUUUGAGGCUGGGAUGAGGAUAAGGAAAUAGACUCGGUUGGUUGUGCUGCCGUUGGUUUGGGCUUAUCCAUGGGACGCGGAAGCUGAUCUUGCGAACGGGAAGAAGCUUGAGGUUGGUUGGUAGCGGGAUAAGGAUGGAAUUGAUCGGCAAGUGGUUGGGACAGAUUUCGGAAGAGAUUAAUCCAAAACAGGGGAAUGGAAGAUGGCUGGAUACUCUGUUCCGAUUUGGUUUUGGUUGGGAAGAAAUGAAGAUCUUGGAUGAUCGAAGCAUGGAGGAAGUGGACGAGAUAGGCUUAGAUGCUGGAUGCGAAGAUCAUGGGAUAUGGCCUGAUCUGUUCAAUGCGAAGGAGAAGCUUGGACGAUGGCUGGAAACGGAUGCGGAGGAGAUGAGGAUUUGAGUUUAUCAGGCUCUGUUUGAACUACUCACGGGAUGGGGAGAUGAGUUGGGAUUUAUUCCGAUGAAGGGAUAAGGAUGCUGGGAGAUUGAGCUAGAAGAAA